GACGAACGCUGGCGGCGUGCUUAACACAUGCAAGUCGAACGGAAAGGCCCUGCUUUUGUGGGGUGCUCGAGUGGCGAACGGGUGAGUAACACGUGAGUAACCUGCCCUUGACUUUGGGAUAACUUCAGGAAACUGGGGCUAAUACCGGAUAGGAGCUCCUGCUGCAUGGUGGGGGUUGGAAAGUUUCGGCGGUUGGGGAUGGACUCGCGGCUUAUCAGCUUGUUGGUGGGGUAGUGGCUUACCAAGGCUUUGGCGGGUAGCCGGCCUGAGAGGGUGACCGGCCACAUGGGGACUGAGAUACGGCCCAGACUCCUACGGGAGGCAGCAGUGGGGAAUAUUGCACAAUGGGCGGAAGCCUGAUGCAGCAACGCCGCGUGCGGGAUGACGGCCUUCGGGUUGUAAACCGCUUUCGCCUGUGACGAAGCGUGAGUGACGGUAAUGGGUAAAGAAGCACCGGCUAACUACGUG
Molecule: ribosomal RNA, 468 nt
Filed under: uncultured bacterium
Lineage: Bacteria
Description: partial 16S ribosomal RNA
Rfam family: Bacterial small subunit ribosomal RNA
Source: RNAcentral